This 253-nucleotide ribosomal RNA is filed under the name uncultured bacterium. RNAcentral's name for it is "partial 16S ribosomal RNA". It matches the Rfam family "Bacterial small subunit ribosomal RNA", at positions 524 to 776 of the family's 1533-position model. The record is from RNAcentral.
UACGUAGGGUGCAAGCGUUAAUCGGAAUUACUGGGCGUAAAGCGUGCGCAGGCGGUUAUGUAAGACAGUUGUGAAAUCCCCGGGCUCAACCUGGGAACUGCAUCUGUGACUGCAUAGCUAGAGUACGGUAGAGGGGGAUGGAAUUCCGCGUGUAGCAGUGAAAUGCGUAGAUAUGCGGAGGAACACCGAUGGCGAAGGCAGCCCCCUGGGUUAACACUGACGCUCAUGCACGAAAGCGUGGGGAGCAAACAGG